GGGGUGACUGCGUACCUUUUGUAUAAUGGGUCAGCGACUUAUAUUCUGUAGCAAGGUUAACCGCAUAGGGGAGCCGAAGGGAAACCGAGUCUUAAUUGGGCGUUAAGUUGCAGGGUAUAGACCCGAAACCCGGUGAUCUAGCCAUGGGCAGGUUGAAGGUUGGGUAACACUAACUGGAGGACCGAACCGACUAAUGUUGAAAAAUUAGCGGAUGACCUGUGGCUGGGGGUGAAAGGCCAAUCAAACCGGGAGAUAGCUGGUUCUCCCCGAAAGCUAUUUAGGUAGCGCCUCGUGAACUCAUCUCCGGGGGUAGAGCACUGUUUCGGCUAGGGGGCCAUCCCGGCUUACCAACCCGAUGCAAACUGCGAAUACCGGAGAAUGUUAUCACGGGAGACACACGGCGGGUGCUAACGUCCGUCGUGAAGAGGGAAACAACCCAGACCGCCAGCUAAGGUCCCAAAGUCAUGGUUAAGUGGGAAACGAUGUGGGAAGGCCCAGACAGCCAGGAUGUUGGCUUAGAAGCAGCCAUCAUUUAAAGAAAGCGUAAUAGCUCACUGGUCGAGUCGGCCUGCGCGGAAGAUGUAACGGGGCUAAACCAUGCACCGAAGCUGCGGCAGCGACACUUUAGUGUUGUUGGGUAGGGGAGCGUUCUGUAAGCCGUUGAAGGUGUCCUGUGAGGGGUGCUGGAGGUAUCAGAAGUGCGAAUGCUGACAUAAGUAACGAUAAAGCGGGUGAAAAGCCCGCUCGCCGGAAGACCAAGGGUUCCUGUCCAACGUUAAUCGGGGCAGGGUGAGUCGACCCCUAAGGCGAGGCCGAAAGGCGUAGUCGAUGGGAAACGGGUUAAUAUUCCCGUACUUGGUGUUACUGCGAAGGGGGGACGGAGAAGG
Molecule: ribosomal RNA, 887 nt
Filed under: Salmonella enterica subsp. diarizonae
Lineage: Bacteria; Pseudomonadati; Pseudomonadota; Gammaproteobacteria; Enterobacterales; Enterobacteriaceae
Description: partial 23S ribosomal RNA
Rfam family: Bacterial large subunit ribosomal RNA
Source: RNAcentral